Molecule: ribosomal RNA, 253 nt
Filed under: uncultured bacterium
Lineage: Bacteria
Description: partial 16S ribosomal RNA
Rfam family: Bacterial small subunit ribosomal RNA
Source: RNAcentral
UACGGGGGGGGCAAGCGUUGUUCGGAAUUACUGGGCGUAAAGGGCUCGUAGGCGGCCAACUAAGUCGGAUGUGAAAUCCCCAGGCUCAACCUGGGAACUGCAUCCGAUACUGGAUGGCUUGAAUCCGGGAGAGGGAUGCAGAAUUCCAGGUGUAGCGGUGAAAUGCGUAGAUAUCGGGAGGAACACCAGUGGCGAAGGCGGCUGUCUGGGCCAGUUCUGACGCUGAGGCGCGAAAGCGUGGGGAGCAAACAGG